UACGGGGGGGGCAAGCGUUGUUCGGAAUUACUGGGCGUAAAGGGCGCGUAGGCGGCCUACUAAGUCGGACGUGAAAUCCCUCGGCUCAACCGAGGAACUGCGUCCGAUACUGGCAGGCUGGAAUCCGGGAGAGGGAUGUGGAAUUCCAGGUGUAGCGGUGAAAUGCGUAGAUAUCUGGAGGAACACCGGUGGCGAAGGCGGCAUCCUGGACCGGUACUGACGCUGAGGCGCGAAAGCGUGGGUAGCAAACAGG
Molecule: ribosomal RNA, 253 nt
Filed under: uncultured bacterium
Lineage: Bacteria
Description: partial 16S ribosomal RNA
Rfam family: Bacterial small subunit ribosomal RNA
Source: RNAcentral